RNAcentral lists this long non-coding RNA (861 nucleotides) under Dromaius novaehollandiae (emu). Its description in RNAcentral is "lncRNA (ENSDNVG00000000493.1)". Lineage: Eukaryota; Metazoa; Chordata; Aves; Casuariiformes; Dromaiidae. The record is from RNAcentral.
GUAUCAGCCGCGCUCUCGCUCUACUGCAAAGCCCUGGAGUACUUUGUGCCUGCUCUGCACUGUGAGUCGAUUCCUGUCCAGCCCCGAUGUGGGGCAGCGGAGGGGGCCGUGGGGCGGCUGGCUGCACCAGGGCACGCUUCCCUGCAGAGGAGGAGCAGGCACUGGGAGAACUGGGGUGGUGUAAUGGAGGGGGGGACAUGGGAAGAGGUGAGCGCUCCCCGCAGAGGGGAAGGGGCUCGUUUUCACGUGGGCCGCUGCGAGGCCCCUGGUUUGCAGCCAGCCCAGCCCGGGAUAACCCRGGGGCUGUGUGAGCCCCUCGCGAGCGCUGGCCUCUGCUGUUUGAUCGCUCUUUYCCCCAGAUGAAAGCGAUGCUCGCCGGAAGGAAGCCAUCUGGGCAAAGGUGGGGCAGUACAUCUCCCGAGCGGAGGAGCUGAAAGCGCUGGUCCUGUGCGACAGCAAGUGUCUUCUGCAGCAAGGCAACCCUGCCCGGGAGAUCCUCAAAGAGAUGGCCAAGGACAAGCCUCGUCUCUGUGCUGCGCUGGAAAUGGCUUCUGCAGCCAUUGCUAAGGAGGAGGAGGGCAAGGACGACGGUGACACCCUGGAGCUCUACCAGCAGAGCCUGGGCGAGCUGCUGCUCAUUCUGGCUGGUGAGUUGUGGCGGGGGGGGUCAGGGUGGGUGGAGGCCAGYGCUGCGGCCGGGGCUGCUCCUGCGCCUGGCGCACACGGCUGACAGCGCGUCUUCCCUCUCCAGCAGAGCCUGCGGGGAGGAGACGGGAGCUGCUCCACGCGGAGGUAAGUGCCAGCAUGCUUUUUUGGCACGGGGGGUCAGGCAGGCUGGGCACGCUGGGGGUUGGCAUCUCU